Lepidothrix coronata (blue-crowned manakin) is the source of this 481-nucleotide long non-coding RNA. RefSeq lists it as uncharacterized. The transcript is spliced from 3 exons. The record is from RefSeq and is a predicted model, not a curated record. Lineage: Eukaryota; Metazoa; Chordata; Aves; Passeriformes; Pipridae.
UGUCCCUGUCCCAGGUGUGUCGCCCCCCUAGCCCCCCCCCGGACCCCAUCCCCACACUUGUCCCAGCUGUGUGAGCCCCCCCAGUCUCCACCCAGGGACAGCCCUGUUGCCAUUCCCAUUCCAGGUGUGUGACCCCCCCCUCUCCCUCAGCUCCCCCCCCAGCCUUUCAUCCCGGCCUUUCAUCUCCAGUCGUCCUGGCAACACCCCAAAGGGUCUGGAAGUGUUGCCAUGGCACCCAGGGAUGCUCUGAACCCGAGCCAAGGACCCCGCAGCCCCCCCAGGGCUCUGUCCCAGCCUCAGUCCCUCACACCCCAGGGGUGCCCUGCGCCCAGGGGGUGGCAGUGCCAGGGGCAGAGGUGCCCACAGCUGUGCCAUGGCCAUUGGGGAGGACCUGCGCAGCGGCUGCUUCUGGCGGGGGGUGCUGGCGGAGGCCGUGGGGACCCUCAUCCUCGUGGGGGUGGUCCUGGGGGCCUCGGCGGGC